This 204-nucleotide unclassified non-coding RNA is filed under the name uncultured fungus. RNAcentral's name for it is "partial contains 18S rRNA, ITS1, 5.8S rRNA, ITS2 and 28S rRNA". The record is from RNAcentral. Lineage: Eukaryota; Fungi.
AAGGAUCAUUAAUGAGAACUUGCCCCUCGGGGUAGAUCUCCCACCCUCUGUGAACACGUACCAUGUUGCUUUGGCAGGCCCGUCCUCGGACCGCCGGCUCCGGCUGGCCAGCGCCUGCCAGAGGAUUAUCAAACCCUGUCUGUCAGUGUCGUCUGAGUAUAUAUAUAAUUGUCAAAACUUUCAACAACGGAUCUCUUGGUUCUG